GGCAAUGCCCGAAAGGGUUACCCAGCAACGCCGCGUGGAGGAUGAAGGUCGUAAGAUUGUAAACUCCUGUUAGAGGGGAAGAAUAACUAAGUUUGGAGCUUAGUAUGAAUGUACCCUCAGAGAAAGCCCCGGCUAACUACGUGCCAGCAGCCGCGGUAAUCCGUAGGGGGCAAGCGUUUUCCGGAUUUACUGGGUGUAAAGGGCGUGCAGGCGGAAUGGAAAGUCAGUGGUGAAAUCCUACAGCUUAACUGUAGAACUGCCUUUGAUACUUUCAUUCUUGGGUUCGGGAGAGACAGACGGAAUUCCAGGGGUAGUGGUGAAAUACGUAGAUAUCUGGAAGAACACCAGUUGCGAAGGCGGUCUCUUGGUCCGAUACUGACGCUGAGGCGCGAAAGCGUGGGGAGCAAACA
RNAcentral lists this ribosomal RNA (410 nucleotides) under uncultured bacterium. RNAcentral describes it as "bacterial SSU rRNA". It matches the Rfam family "Bacterial small subunit ribosomal RNA", at positions 367 to 774 of the family's 1533-position model. The record is from RNAcentral.